RNAcentral lists this ribosomal RNA (519 nucleotides) under uncultured eukaryote. Its description in RNAcentral is "SSU rRNA". It matches the Rfam family "Eukaryotic small subunit ribosomal RNA", at positions 1172 to 1719 of the family's 1831-position model. The record is from RNAcentral.
AGGGCACCACCAGGAGUGGAGCCUGCGGCUUAAUUUGACUCAACACGGGAAAACUCACCCGGCCCGGACACUGGAAGGAUUGACAGAUUGAGAGCUCUUUCUUGAUUCAGUGGGUGGUGGUGCAUGGCCGUUCUUAGUUGGUGGAGCGAUUUGUCUGGUUAAUUCCGAUAACGAACGAGACUCUAGCCUACUAAAUAGAUCGUUGGCUUACAAACGCCAAUGAGACYUCUUAGAGGGACAGGCGGCGAUUCAGCCGCACGAAACAGAGCAAUAACAGGUCUGUGAUGCCCUUAGAUGUCCGGGGCCGCUCGCGCGCUACACUGAAGUGAUCAGCGUGCAUUCUCAGCCUACUCUGCCAAGAGUGGGAAACCCAAUGAACCUUCUUCGUGAUUGGGAUAGGAGAUUGUAAUUAUUCUCCUUGAACGAGGAAUUCCCAGUAAGCGCGAGUCAUAAGCUCGCGUUGAUUACGUCCCUGCCCUUUGUACACACCGCCCGUCGCUACUACCGAUUGAAUGUUUU